Pipra filicauda (Wire-tailed manakin) is the source of this 1113-nucleotide long non-coding RNA. RefSeq lists it as uncharacterized. NCBI's taxonomy places the organism in Eukaryota, Metazoa, Chordata, Aves, Passeriformes, Pipridae. The transcript has 3 exons. The record is from RefSeq and is a predicted model, not a curated record.
UUCUUCCCCCUCCGGGGGGGAGGGGAGCCCUGCGGCCCCCCCAACUCUACCUAGGCCAGAGUUAGAAACAACAUUUAGAGUGAGUGUUUAUGAGGGAUGCGACUCACAGCACCUGAGGGAGAAGAAUCCCAGGCGAAAUUGGAGACGGGCCAAAAGAGCUCGGGAGUUGCCCUGCCGAAGCUGACCGAGGGCAGCCAAAAACUGAUUUGGAGGAAUGAAGAUUCCAAACGCCUUCUGUGAUAAGCUACACUACAGCAACAGCGAACCGAGGUAUGAGACUGAGAGAGAGAGAAUGACACAGCAGAGACUGACAUGGGACCGAGGAGAAAGGACUCAAAGCUACCUUCUUGGACUUCGUGAGGAGAAAGGACUUCAGCAACCAGCUGGAGAUCACAAGAGUUGGAUGUCUCUACUAGCAUCUCACACAACUAUAAAAUCUUUGAGUUCACGUGAGCAACAUCUUGCACCUGCUGAAUUUCAUGGAUGGCUUCUCGUGUGUCCUUUGAGGGUUUGCCCAAGGCCAAAAUGUGGCCAAAACAGCCUCUCUGUAUAUAUCUUGUUUCUAGAUUGGGUUCUGGCAUCCUCUACUUAACCAGACUGUUCCUUUGCUUUAAAAGAGUGUUUCCUUCUGUGGGACUACACAGGGAGGAAAUUACUGUUUGGGCAGAACUUGACUAGAGAGCUGUGCAUUUACAGAAGUGUACAACCAGAAUGGACAUCAGCUAAUAUCUGCUUUAUGGUAGGUGCACACUGGCAAACUUUGCACCACUAGCAUCCUAAAAAUUAAAUUAUUCUGUGGACUUUUUUUUCUUUUUUUUUUUUUUUUUACAUAUGCAUAGAGCCCGAAUUUCCUUGUAAGGAGACAGGUAAACCUUGAAAUUAACUAGUUGAGAUCUUUACUGUCCACCUACCAAUUUUUUAGUAUUCUUUCUUGUUGCCUGUCAUCAGAUAUUUAUGUCUUAUUAAUUGUUACAAAGUUUUCAAAAGGCUAUAGUUGUAGGAAAUCACAUUUUAAGUAUGUUGUCAUGAAGCCUAUAACAUGUAAGGUUUCUUCCCAGCAGAUCCUGCUAAAUGAAUGUGGGGGGUUUUAUUAAAGGAUUAUAGAACUCCAAA